CGAAAGCCUGACGGAGCAAGACCGCGUGGGGGAGGAAUGCCUUAGGGUUGUAAACCCCUUUUAUCUGGGAAGAACAAAAUGACGGUACCAGAUGAAUAAGCCUCGGCUAACUCCGUGCCAGCAGCCGCGGUAAUACGGAGGAGGCAAGCGUUAUCCGGAUUUAUUGGGCGUAAAGCGUCCGCAGGUGGCGAUUCAAGUCUGCUGUCAAAGCACGGGGCUUAACUCCGUAAAGGCAGUGGAAACUGAAUAGCUAGAGUGCCGUAGGGGUAGAGGGAAUUCCCGGUGUAGCGGUGAAAUGCGUAGAGAUCGGGAAGAACAUCGGUUGCGAAAGCGCUCUGCUGGGCCGCAACUGACACUCAGGGACGAAAGCUAGGGGAGCG
Molecule: ribosomal RNA, 380 nt
Filed under: uncultured cyanobacterium
Lineage: Bacteria; Bacillati; Cyanobacteriota
Description: bacterial SSU rRNA
Rfam family: Bacterial small subunit ribosomal RNA
Source: RNAcentral